AAUAGUACGUUUCUGAAAAAUAAUUGGGAAAGUAGUACGUGUGCUAUUCACAAUUGGGAAAACCCCACUUUUCACUGUGCUCCAACUGUUUCGAAGACAUUGUGACCCUCACAUAUUCUUUAUAUUUACGACAGUGCCAUUGACAUAUUUACACUCUAAAAAAGAAUAUAAAAAUAGUUUUUCUUUUCCUUCUUUCUCUCCUCAUCUUCUCCAUCGUUCAUUUUCUAAUCUCCAUUGAUGAGACCUCUAAGUGGCGUACCUUCGCUAAUGAAUCUUUCAACAGUGAUCCCAAUCGUGUCGGUUAUCCAACCAAUCCGCUUCUCGCCGAUAGUGAUCUAACCAUUGUUAUCGCUUAGUCCAAUGGUUCCUCCGGUGAUUUCUUGUCUUCUUCUCUCGGGAGGUGGCAGAAUUGGAACUCCAAUUCCGAUCGUGUUUUGAUUCAAGCGUUUAAAACCUUUCCUACCAUGUCUAAAAGUUUCCCUUGGAGAGUGAUUUUUGUAUGGACUUGCUUUAAUUUAUCACGCAAAUCUACGGUGGUGAUAGCUCUGGUGAUUGGAGGCAACGGUAUACCAGUUUCGCCGGAAGUAGCUAACGGUUUGAAGAAUGAUGAAGCUUACGGUGUCGUUUUGAUGAGAGUGGUGAUUUUAGGGAGGCUCCGAUGGAAAGCUGGUGCGAUUAAGACUGGACGGUAUGGAUUUUAUGCAAGGUGUGAUGUGUGGUUGAGAUUUAA
Long non-coding RNA from Arabidopsis lyrata subsp. lyrata, 730 nucleotides. RefSeq lists it as uncharacterized. Lineage: Eukaryota; Viridiplantae; Streptophyta; Magnoliopsida; Brassicales; Brassicaceae. The transcript has 2 exons. The record is from RefSeq and is a predicted model, not a curated record.